RNAcentral lists this transfer RNA (76 nucleotides) under Verrucomicrobiota bacterium. RNAcentral describes it as "Verrucomicrobia bacterium (marine metagenome) tRNA-Lys". It matches the Rfam family "tRNA". From Rfam's summary of the family: Transfer RNA (tRNA) molecules are approximately 80 nucleotides in length. Their secondary structure includes four short double-helical elements and three loops (D, anti-codon, and T loops). Further hydrogen bonds mediate the characteristic L-shaped molecular structure. tRNAs have two regions of fundamental functional importance: the anti-codon, which is responsible for specific mRNA codon recognition, and the 3' end, to which the tRNAs corresponding amino acid is attached (by aminoacyl-tRNA synthetases). tRNAs cope with the degeneracy of the genetic code in two manners: having more than one tRNA (with a specific anti-codon) for a particular amino acid; and 'wobble' base-pairing, i.e. permitting non-standard base-pairing at the 3rd anti-codon position. Lineage: Bacteria; Pseudomonadati; Verrucomicrobiota. The record is from RNAcentral.
GGGCCGGUAGCUCAGUUGGUAGAGCAUGUGACUUUUAAUCACAGGGUCCUGGGUUCGAGCCCCAGCCGGCUCACCA